This 448-nucleotide ribosomal RNA is filed under the name uncultured bacterium. Its description in RNAcentral is "bacterial SSU rRNA". It matches the Rfam family "Bacterial small subunit ribosomal RNA", at positions 330 to 794 of the family's 1533-position model. The record is from RNAcentral.
ACCAGACUCCUACGGGAGGCAGCAGUGGGGGAUAUUGCACAAUGGGGGGAACCCUGAUGCAGCGACGCCGCGUGGGUGAAGGAGUGCUUCGGCAUGUAAAGCCCUAUCGGCAGGGAAGAAGCAAGACGGUACCUGACUAAGAAGCCCCGGCUAACUACGUGCCAGCAGCCGCGGUAAUACGUAGGGGGCGAGCGUUAUCCGGAUUUACUGGGUGUAAAGGGGGCGCAGACGGCGAUGCAAGCCAGGAGUGAAAGCCCGGGGCCCAACCCCGGGACUGCUCUUGGAACUGCGUGGCUGAAGUGCAGGAGGGGCAGGCGGAAUUCCUGGUGUAGCGGUGAAAUGCGUAGAUAUCAGGAGGAACACCGGUGGCGAAGGCGGCUUACUGGACAGUGACUGACGUUGAGGCUCGAAAGCGUGGGGAGCGAACAGGAUUAGAUACCCUAGUAAC